UUUAUUUCGAAAAAUGCAAAAAAAAGUAUGUAAAUGCAUCAUUCGCAUACGCAGUAAAAUAUUUACUUUAGUUAAACAGAAAUCAACUUUUUUUUCUGCUUUUUUUAUAAUAAAUGUGUCAUUUUUCCAUAUUUUUCUCAUUUAAAUAAGUCAAAUAAGUGUUACACAAAAAGAGCUCUUUUUGAUUAUGUGUUGAAGAGCAAUAAUCUAAAGAAAAUGGUUUUAACAAAAAGCAAAUAUUAAAUCAAUCGGACUUCAAAUCAAUUACAUCAACAACAAUGGAUUGAAACAAUGAUUUUCAUCAAAGAAUUCUUUUUCAAUACGAACAUGAAGCAGUAAAAGGCAAAUAAAUGAUUAGACUAUACCUACAUGAAACUACAACAAAAAUCGUAUUUUGCCUUUUUAUUAUAAAAUUAUCAAAAAACGGUCUUAACACAAAGCAAAGGAUUUCCCAGUGCACAAAAAAAGUAAUUCUCUCCUUUUUUCAAGACAUUCAAUUAAAAAACAUUUCUAAUUACAAGGAUCUGAAGACAUAUAUAUAACAGCUCGUUAUAUACCAGCAGCUCUCUAUGAGUUCUUCGUUAACAACUUUUCUCAUCGGGAGACUUUAUUAAUAUAAAAUUUCCACUAUUUUAUUAUCAUCGCCCAUCUAGAAAGAAGGAUGAAAAAAAGACAGAAAUGAAAUUGUGUAAAAAAAAAAAACUUUUCCUGUCUACAUGUUCGAGAAACUUGUUUUUAACGUAUAUAUCUAUAUAUAUAUUAUAUAAGACGCACGAGAACAAGGGAACAAUAAAAAAAAAAUUUUGAAGGAAAAAGUGAAAAAGAAGUGAAAGAAAAUGAUGAAAAGCCAUAUGAAAAAUGAAUAAAGAGGAUAGAGUGAGUCUAAAAGAAAAGGGAUGAGAAUAGGAUUUUAAUGAAUGCGUCGAAAGAAUCCAAGUGCCCUAUGAUAUUCCCUGCAUUUAUACGUUCUCUAAGGACUCUUUAGAGGAGUAUUCUCUCUCGCUCUGUGUAGUAGAGAGAGGAUCAUUUUAUCCGCGCUUCGACUAUAUAUAACAGGACGUUUCCAAUAAUUAUACCGAGUCGAAAAUAUCAGUGGUAAACUCAUCUCUUCAACCCUUUAAUAGCGUCCAAAGUACAAAGCAUAUUGGUUUUUCUAUAUAGGAUAUGCCUCAUAAAAUUGCACACAGAAAAAUCUAGGGUUCAUUAUUUGAGUAUUUUAUAUAUAUAUAUAUAUAUAUAUAUAUAUAUUUUAGUCCCACCCCUUAGUAUAUAUUCGCGCGCCAAUUCUCUAUUUAAAUUUUUUUAAAAUAUUAAAUAAUUUCAUUAAAUUUGUAUUUAAUAAUUUUUUUUUAUUUAACAGCAGAAACUUAUGUAUAUUUUAAUAUAAACAUAAACCUGCAUAUUUUAACUUGCAUCUUAUCUUUUCUAAGAAAAAAAGUCCUUUAAUUAUGAUUACUUUGGUUUAAUUUAUGAAUUUUUGCUAAGA
Long non-coding RNA from Leptopilina boulardi, 1486 nucleotides. RefSeq lists it as uncharacterized. The record is from RefSeq and is a predicted model, not a curated record. NCBI's taxonomy places the organism in Eukaryota, Metazoa, Arthropoda, Insecta, Hymenoptera, Figitidae. The transcript has 3 exons.